UAUUGGACAAUGGGCGCAAGCCUGAUCCAGCAAUGCCGCGUGGGUGAAGAAGGCCUUCGGGUUGUAAAGCCCUUUUGUACGGGAAGAAAUCAUCCGGGUUAAUACCCUGGGUGGAUGACGGUACCGGAAGAAUAAGCACCGGCUAACUUCGUGCCAGCAGCCGCGGUAAUACGAAGGGUGCAAGCGUUACUCGGAAUUACUGGGCGUAAAGCGUGCGUAGGUGGUUCGUUAAGUCUGAUGUGAAAGCCCUGGGCUCAACCUGGGAAUUGCAUUGGAUACUGGCGGGCUAGAGUGCGGUAGAGGAUGGCGGAAUUCCUGGUGUAGCAGUGAAAUGCGUAGAGAUCGGGAGGAACAUCCGUGGCGAAGGCGGCCAUCUGGACCAGCACUGACACUGAGGCACGAAAGCGUGGGGAGCAAACAG
This 421-nucleotide ribosomal RNA is filed under the name uncultured bacterium. RNAcentral's name for it is "bacterial SSU rRNA". It matches the Rfam family "Bacterial small subunit ribosomal RNA", at positions 362 to 775 of the family's 1533-position model. The record is from RNAcentral.